GCAAGCCCUGACUCGCUCACGGUGUGGCUCAGUGAUCGAUGGGGGUCCCGGGGGUGUCUACUCCUCUGCUCCGUGUCCAUGCACGGCGCCCUAGGUCAGCUCUGCUCCGUGUCCGUGCACGGCGCCCCAGGUCAGCUCUGCUCCGUGUCCGUGCACGGCGCCCCAGGUCAGCUCUGCUCCGUGUCCGUGCACGGCGCCCCAGGUCAGCUCUGCUCCGUGUCCGUGCACGGCGCCCCAGGUCAGCUCUGCUCCGUGUCCGUGCACGGCGCCCCAGGUCAGCUCUGCUCCGUGUCCGUGCACGGCGCCCCAGGUCAGCUCUGCUCCGUGUCCGUGCACGGCGCCCCAGGUCAGCUCUGCUCCGUGUCCGUGCACGGUGCCCUAGGUCAGCUCUGCUCUGGCUUCCAGGAGGUCGUCUUCGUUUUCCCUGUCUCCUUGCCUGUGUUUAUUAGGUCCCUUUCG
Molecule: non-coding RNA, 459 nt
Organism: Oryctolagus cuniculus (rabbit)
Lineage: Eukaryota; Metazoa; Chordata; Mammalia; Lagomorpha; Leporidae
Source: RefSeq, a predicted model, not a curated record